AGUGAGCGCUGGCGGUAGGCCUAACACAUGCGAGUCGAACGGCAGCACAGUAAGAGCUUGCUCUUACGGGUGGCGAGUGGCGGACGGGUGAGGAAUACAUCGGAAUCUACUUUUUCGUGGGGGAUAACGUAGGGAAACUUACGCUAAUACCGCAUACGACCUACGGGUGAAAGCAGGGGAUCUUCGGACCUUGCGCGAUUGAAUGAGCCGAUGUCGGAUUAGCUAGUUGGCGGGGUAAAGGCCCACCAAGGCGACGAUCCGUAGCUGGUCUGAGAGGAUGAUCAGCCACACUGGAACUGAGACACGGUCCAGACUCCUACGGGAGGCAGCAGUGGGGAAUAUUGGAUAAUGGGCGCAAGCCUGAUCCAGCCAUACCGCGUGGGUGAAGAAGGCCUUCGGGUUGUAAAGCCCUUUUGUUGGGAAAGAAAAGCAGCAGGUUAAUACCCCGCUGUUCUGACGGUACCCAAAGAAUAAGCACCGGCUAACUUCGUG
This 492-nucleotide ribosomal RNA is filed under the name uncultured bacterium. RNAcentral describes it as "partial 16S ribosomal RNA". It matches the Rfam family "Bacterial small subunit ribosomal RNA", at positions 29 to 507 of the family's 1533-position model. The record is from RNAcentral.